Molecule: non-coding RNA, 27 nt
Filed under: Mus musculus (house mouse)
Lineage: Eukaryota; Metazoa; Chordata; Mammalia; Rodentia; Muridae
Source: RNAcentral
UGAGGACCAAUGAGGAGUAAUCCCGAU